AACACGUGGGUAACCUGCCCAUAAGACUGGGAUAACUCCGGGAAACCGGGGCUAAUACCGGAUAACAUUUUGAACCGCAUGGUUCGAAAUUGAAAGGCGGCUUCGGCUGUCACUUAUGGAUGGACCCGCGUCGCAUUAGCUAGUUGGUGAGGUAACGGCUCACCAAGGCAACGAUGCGUAGCCGACCUGAGAGGGUGAUCGGCCACACUGGGACUGAGACACGGCCCAGACUCCUACGGGAGGCAGCAGUAGGGAAUCUUCCGCAAUGGACGAAAGUCUGACGGAGCAACGCCGCGUGAGUGAUGAAGGCUUUCGGGUCGUAAAACUCUGUUGUUAGGGAAGAACAAGUGCUAGUUGAAUAAGCUGGCACCUUGACGGUACCUAACCAGAAAGCCACGGCUAACUACGUGCCAGCAGCCGCGGUAAUACGUAGGUGGCAAGCGUUAUCCGGAAUUAUUGGGCGUAAAGCGCGCGCAGGUGGUUUCUUAAGUCUGAUGUGAAAGCCCACGGCUCAACCGUGGAGGGUCAUUGGAAACUGGGAGACUUGAGUGCAGAAGAGGAAAGUGGAAUUCCAUGUGUAGCGGUGAAAUGCGUAGAGAUAUGGAGGAACACCAGUGGC
RNAcentral lists this ribosomal RNA (619 nucleotides) under Bacillus thuringiensis. Its description in RNAcentral is "bacterial SSU rRNA". It matches the Rfam family "Bacterial small subunit ribosomal RNA", at positions 112 to 716 of the family's 1533-position model. Lineage: Bacteria; Bacillati; Bacillota; Bacilli; Caryophanales; Bacillaceae. The record is from RNAcentral.